RNAcentral lists this ribosomal RNA (369 nucleotides) under uncultured organism. Its description in RNAcentral is "partial 16S ribosomal RNA". It matches the Rfam family "Bacterial small subunit ribosomal RNA", at positions 527 to 896 of the family's 1533-position model. The record is from RNAcentral.
GGAGGGUGCAAGCGUUGUCCGGAUUUAUUGGGUUUAAAGGGUGCGUAGGCGGCCUAUUAAGUCAGUGGUGAAAGGUAUCAGCUUAACUGAUGACGUGCCAUUGAAACUGACAGGCUUGAGUACAGACGAGGUAGGCGGAAUUUAUGGUGUAGCGGUGAAAUGCAUAGAUACCAUAAAGAACACCAAUUGCGAAGGCAGCUUACUAGACUGAGACUGACGCUGAGGCACGAAAGCGUGGGGGGAGCGAACAGGAUUAGAUACCCUGGUAGUCCACGCUGUAAACGAUGAUUACUGGAUGUGUGCGAUAGACAGUACGCGUCUGAGCGAAAGCGUUAAGUAAUCCACCUGGGGAGUACGAUCGCAAGAUUG